RNAcentral lists this long non-coding RNA (1435 nucleotides) under Homo sapiens (human). Its description in RNAcentral is "HSALNT0387857". The record is from RNAcentral. Lineage: Eukaryota; Metazoa; Chordata; Mammalia; Primates; Hominidae.
GCACAUGGUCCUGUUCGUACUCCAGGAUGGCGGCGUAAAGGGCCCGCUGCUCCCGUUCCUCCGGGGUCAGGGCGACUUGGCUGCAAAACCUCCUGGGGAGAAAGGCACGCGGUGGGUGCCGGGGCCAGGCCCUCCCCGCAGCGGCCCCAGGGGCGGGCAGGAGUCCCACCUGUUGGCGGCCUCCUGGAGCCGCAGCCGGCGCUCCUCCAUCUUUCUCUGGAGCUGGGUGCAGAGUCAAGGGGCCGAGCGUGGGAUCUGAGCGGGCCCUCGGUUCCCAACCCCGUCCCACACCCGGAGAGGCCGGGACGUCCCAGGGACCUCCUCUCGGUGAGGGGCUGUCCCCAGCUUCUGAUUCUGCAGGGAGGCCUCCUCCAGUGGCGUCAGCUCUCUGGAAAUGUGACAAGCUGCUGUCUAGACCCCAGGAAGCCCAGUGGUGUCUGGACACCAGAGGAGUCUCUCUCAUCCUCCCGGAUUGCUCUGAGGCCAGGAGCUUUGUGACUCUGCCCCCUGAAGCUUCUGGAAGAUCUCGGGUGGCAGAAAAGGAGAGAGCUUUCCUCCUUCAUCGGAGUAUACACGGCGGUGUCGGCCGGCAGGCUGGGGAAUGGGAGCAGCUGCAGGCAUGGUUGGCUUCAGGCGUGUUUUCCCUGCAAGCCAUGGGUAACCAGGGGUCAAGCGGUGGGCCACAUCCCACAGAGGAGAUGCGGGCUUGGGGGAUGCCCCAGGAGAGCCGCCUACUGCAGGAGACCCACCAAGCUUGGCGGCCGUCGACUGGGCCCUCUCCAGACACUGCUGUGCUAGCUUCAGCAUCUUGGAGGUGUCGGGGGGCACAGUUUCCCCAGCUUCUGGGGGAGGGACAAGAAGGCUGGUCACAGUCGGCUCUACCACUGUUACUUACUGCUGAGAUAAAAUGAGGCAACGGAAAAGGCCUCUGGGAAGUGGCCGUUUUACAGAGACAAGGACGUGCUGAGGGGAUCGCCUCACCCAUCUCCCACCGGCUGUGUCCCCAAAGUCCUGCCUUCCCGUAGCUUGGCAUGGAGCACCUCUGCGCGACCAUGGACCUGCUCACACAGCCCUUCUGCGCGCCGUGGGAGCUGCCUCUCUGUGACUCGCCCCUGGACCCACCGCCCCAGCGCCUGACCCACCUCCCUGCUGCCCUUCACAGAAAACUUCUCAUAGACUCCCAUUUUCUCAUCCCGCCCCGAUUUAGCCCCCGACUCCCCCCGGAAACUGCCCUUACCCGUCCCCACCUUGCCAGACACGGUGGGCCACUGGAGUUCCUCUGUCUUCUGGGACUUUGCUCUCCCCAGGGGAUCCUCUGCCACUCCUCCACCCAACUCCUCAAUCUUGGAGCGCCAGAGCUCAGCCGAGCUCACCGGCUCCCUAGGGAGCUGGGGCAACUGUUAGCUCCCCCUGACCUGUGUGAUCCUACGUCCAG